GUGUCAGCCGCCGCGGUAAUACAGAGGGCGCGAGCGUUGUUCGGAAUCACUGGGCGUAAAGCGCGCGCAGGCGGGACGACAAGUGGGGAGUGAAAUUCCGGGGCUCAACUCCGGGCCUGCUUUCCAAACUGUCGACCUGGGGACCGGUAGAGGCCGGUGGAAUUCCCGGUGUAGCGGUGGAAUGCGUAGAGAUCGGGAAGAACACCCGUGGCGAAGGCGGCCGGCUGGGCCGGAUCCGACGCUGAGGCGCGAAAGCGUGGGGAGCAAACAGGAUUAGAUACCCCCGUAGUCC
Molecule: ribosomal RNA, 292 nt
Filed under: uncultured bacterium
Lineage: Bacteria
Description: partial 16S ribosomal RNA
Rfam family: Bacterial small subunit ribosomal RNA
Source: RNAcentral